GACGAACGCUGGCGGCGUGCCUAAUACAUGCAAGUCGAGCGGASUUGAUGRRGWGCUUGCWYYYCUGAKRSUUAGCGGCGGACGGGUGAGUAACACGUAGGCAACCUGCCCUCAAGACUGGGAUAACUACCGGAAACGGUAGCUAAUACCGGAUAAUUAAAUUYGCUGCAUGGCGGAKUUAUGAAAGGCGGAGCAAUCUGUCRCUUGAGGAUGGGCCUGCGGCGCAUUAGCUAGUUGGUGAGGUAACGGCUCACCAAGGCGACGAUGCGUAGCCGACCUGAGAGGGUGAACGGCCACACUGGGACUGAGACACGGCCCAGACUCCUACGGGAGGCAGCAGUAGGGAAUCUUCCGCAAUGGGCGAAAGCCUGACGGAGCAACGCCGCGUGAGUGAUGAAGGUUUUCGGAUCGUAAAGCUCUGUUGCCAGGGAAGAACGUCUCAUAGAGUAA
This 450-nucleotide ribosomal RNA is filed under the name Paenibacillus sp. R-30935. Its description in RNAcentral is "partial 16S ribosomal RNA". It matches the Rfam family "Bacterial small subunit ribosomal RNA", at positions 28 to 464 of the family's 1533-position model. Lineage: Bacteria; Bacillati; Bacillota; Bacilli; Caryophanales; Paenibacillaceae. The record is from RNAcentral.